RNAcentral lists this ribosomal RNA (253 nucleotides) under uncultured bacterium. Its description in RNAcentral is "partial 16S ribosomal RNA". It matches the Rfam family "Bacterial small subunit ribosomal RNA", at positions 524 to 776 of the family's 1533-position model. The record is from RNAcentral.
UACGUAGGGGGCAAGCGUUGUCCGGAUUUAUUGGGCGUAAAGAGCGUGUAGGCGGCCAUUCAGGUCAGCUGUGAAAACUCGAGGCUCAACCUCGAGACGUCGGUUGAAACCGUUUGGCUAGAGUCCGGAAGAGGAGAGUGGAAUUCCCGGUGUAGCGGUGAAAUUCGUAGAUAUUGGGAAGAACACCGAUGGCUAAGGCAGCUCUCUGGACCGUUACUGACGCUGAGGCGCGAAAGCGUGGGGAGCAAACAGG